GUGGGUCUUCAUCACUGAUCCCAAGUUAAAUUUGAUUGCCCUGUUAUCCUUUAUUUUCAAUAACAAAAAUCAUACCCCUUAGUAUGACAGCUGAGGCUGCCCUGGGAAUUCAGCGUUUUGCUGAGGAGAAGGAAAGCCUCAUAAGUGGGCUUGGUUAAGGUUUUUUUAAGGAACCACAGACCUUAUUUUCUUCUUAGCGCUUGGUGGUUCUGGGACUGGUGGGCCGUGCGGCCGAAUGUGCUGCAGCGGCUAAUUUAAAGUUCUGAGGGAGUUUAAACCAGCAUGCAUUUUUCAUCACAGACAGGUUAAAAGGUUUUUCAAGUAUCCUGCUUAUUCAUAGGCACCUGGGAUCCGGUAGGAUUGCAUAUCUGCCAGGACCUCGGCAAAUAUCACUCCCAAUUUGGCCCUGUAAAGGACAGCCCCAGAAAUUCUUUACACUUGUCCUACCUGGAAAUCGACUGCACAUUUUAUGGCAACUUUGGCUGUGAACUCUUCAUUUCAAGGCUCUACAUCUUUAUUUUAAUAUGCAUUGCCGUUCUUUAUUUGUGCGCCCAGGGAAUACUAAAUUCAAGGCUGACUUUGGUGAAGCCAGCUGCCAUGUUGUGAGCUGCCCUUUGGAGAAAACAGUGUGGUGAAGAACUGAGAUCCUGCCUACCAGUCCACAGAGAACUAAAUCCUGCCAACGACCACCAAGCAAGCCUGGAAGCAUAGCCCAUGCCAGCUGAACGUUGAGAUAGCUGCCGCUUUGGUGAACCCUUGACAAAAGCCUUGUGAGCCAGCCUGAGCUGCGGGACCCAGCUGGUUUGGUUCAGACUCCUGACUCACAGAAAUUGUGAGAUAAUACACGUGUGUUGUUUCAGGCAGCUAAGUUUUGUGGUAAUUUGUUGCCCUCCUAGAUAUUCUACAUCAUGUCAUUUUACAUUAUUUUCAAGCAAGCUCUUAUCAGUGUCUAAAAUGAUCUUAAUGUAUUUGUUGUUUAUUAUCUCUCCUACUCCAAGAUCUAAAUCUUGUAAGAGUUUAAUCUUAUCUUUCUUGUUCAUCUUCAGUUGCCCAGUGUCUAGAAGAGCACCCGGCAUGAAGUUACUGGUGCUCAGUCAUGAAUGAAUGAAUGAAUGAAUGAAUGAAUUUACUUAGAGUUUUCUUUCCAGGCCUUUGUAAUUGUCUCUCCCUAAAAUAGAGAAAUGUCUUAGGGCAAAGGCAUUUGCUUUUUCUCUUUAUCUCUACCUACAGAAGGAUAAUUUCUCAAUUAUUUUUUAACCUGCUGCUAAUCUUCUUUCUAACAGCUUUUUCAUUAUUAACUUCUCCAUGUCCAAAGGUCUUCAUAAACAAUAUUCCUGUCAUUUUCAUUUUGCAUAAAAUUAGGUAAACACAAAAAAGCUGAUUUUUUGACAUAUGGUA
RNAcentral lists this long non-coding RNA (1398 nucleotides) under Equus asinus (donkey). RNAcentral's name for it is "lncRNA (ENSEASG00005036924.1)". Lineage: Eukaryota; Metazoa; Chordata; Mammalia; Perissodactyla; Equidae. The record is from RNAcentral.